CUGAGGUAUGAGCAAGGCUAAAUGCAACUCAUAUUAUUCAUUCAUUAGCGCUCUGCACAGCCUAGUCUUGUUAGCAGUGGAAGCACUCCUCACCUUGCAUAAGCCUGGUUAGUGCACCUCCUCCUCAUGCUGUUUUGCCUCAGUUUCUUUGACAUCUAAAUCUAGUCAUGCCAGGCACAACUCCAACACCAUCAUUAAGUUUGCUGACGACACAGGAGGCCUGAUCAUCGACGACGAUGAGACCGCCUAUCGGGAGGAGGUUAGAGACCUGGCGGUGUGGUGCCAGGACAGCAAGUUCUCCCUCAAAGUCAGCAAGACAAAGGAGCUGAUCGUGGACUACAGCAAAUGGAGGCCCGAGCAUGCCCCCAUUCACGGGGCUGUAGUGGAGCAGGUUGAGCGCUUCAAGUUCCUCAGUGUCCACAUCACUAAGGAGCUAUCAUUGUCCACACACACCAACACAGUCGUGAAGAAGGCACGACAACGCCUCUUCCCCGUCAGGAGGCUUAACAUUUUGAUAUAAGCCCUCAGAUCCUCAAAAAGUUCUAGCUAGCUGCCUAUCAAGCUAGCAGGGUUUUCUUGAGGCUUAAACGCAGCAAGCAACGCGGUUAGCCAUAGUGUCUGGGACCACGGAUUGUCAAGAUUGCUGUGGUCUGUUGCUGUUUCAAUCUUCCCUGCGACCUGCCCUGUCUGGAAAUUUGUGAAGUAACAGCGUAACCUCCAUUGCUACCAUGACAGACCAAAGCCGGCGUGAGUACCCUUGAGGACAGUGGUGUUGCUCUAUCACAGGUGAAGAUUAUUAUACUUUAAAAAAAAAAUUUUUACCCCCUUUUUCUCUCCAGUUUCGAGCGAUCAAUUGCGAUCUUGUCUCAUCGCUGCAACUCCCCAACGGGCUCGGGAGAGGCAAAGGUCGUGUCAUGCGUCCUCCAAAACAUGACCUACCAAGCUGCGUUUCUUAACGCCUGCUCGCUUAACCCGGAAGCCAGCUGCACCAAUGUGUUGGUGGAAACACUGUUCAUCUGAUGACCGAAGUCAGCUUGCAGGCACCCAGCCCGUGACAAGGAGUCGCUAGGCCGUGAUGAGCCAAGACGUUUCAAGUCGCACGUCUAUCUUGGAACAUGACGUGGAUGUGGGGCACGCUGCUCCUAUUCAUCAGCAUCCGUACCGGGUUAACGCUAUGAGAGGAAAUGGCUUCCUGGAUUCCUGAAGCAGCUGAUUGGAUGGCCCCAUCGCUGAUUGGAGCUUUGACCCCUCCCUCUCAUCACGGGAUACAGCUGUCUCUUCAUUAUCAACUCCUUCUCCAGCUUAAUAAAAGCCAGUGUUCCUUUGUCAGAAGAGAUCUUCUUUUUAUGUCCUGUGUUGGUUGUUGGUCAGUGAAAGUUUUGUUGAUAUUAUUUUGUAGCCACUCCUCCCGAGGUAUGUGUAUGCCAAUAGGACUUUUUGAUUAUUGAAAUUGUUCACUAAAAGUAUUAGUAAUUAUUUCAUUUGUUCCCAGGGGUGGAAGGGGAACGCACCUUAGGAGUGUUUAGGCAAGAGGCCUGCGGGCAUACAUAACCCGUAGUAUUUAAUCUGUGUAUCGUUUUACCGUGUUAAGGAAUAAUAAAUUCCC
RNAcentral lists this long non-coding RNA (1606 nucleotides) under Salmo salar (Atlantic salmon). RNAcentral's name for it is "lncRNA (ENSSSAG00000103044.1, ENSSSAG00000110082.1)". Lineage: Eukaryota; Metazoa; Chordata; Actinopteri; Salmoniformes; Salmonidae. The record is from RNAcentral.